Long non-coding RNA from Choloepus didactylus (southern two-toed sloth), 2174 nucleotides. RefSeq lists it as uncharacterized. Lineage: Eukaryota; Metazoa; Chordata; Mammalia; Pilosa; Megalonychidae. The transcript has 3 exons. The record is from RefSeq and is a predicted model, not a curated record.
ACCAGCCUCAUUUCAAAUGCCAUUGGCCAUAUGAAGAUAGUGACUGUCACACUGGAUGGCAGCAGAUCUAGAUAAACAACAUACUGAUUGGAUCAGCCACAAAAAGUGAAAAGUCAUCUUAGAUAUUUGAUGUUUUGCUUCCCCCUUGCCAGCUAAUUGGAUCACAGAUUUUUAUUUAUAAAAAUAAGAAAAAUAGCUGAAUUGUUGAAAAUGAAGGCAGUCAUUGGGUCAAGUUUCAAAUUUCUUUGACGUACUGAAUCACAGGCAAGAAGUCCACUGUUGGCCAAACAGGACUCCUCAGCUCAAAGUCUCUUCUAUCUUCACGUUUGCCUGAUCCCAGUGCCCCCAAAUCUCUCGACCCAUCUGGAGGAAUUCCCAAUUUCUUUGCAUGAAUCUCUGCUUCUACCAAUCCAGUUUGCAAGAUGCAACUCUGCUUUGAGACCCUGAAGCCUGAGUAGUCAUUUCUCUUCACCUCUGAAACAUGGUUUUCUGCUCCAGUGUUCUGAAACAUAACCAUAUACUGUUUUCUUUUUUUAGAAAACCUUUUUCACACGUGGACUUGAAUCCCAACUAGAAUACAGAAGAAAAGCAAGAAUGAUAUUAUGCUUUUCUGUUAUAAGCAAGCUCCCCUUGGCCUCAGCAGGAUAAGGGAUGUAACCUUCUUUCUUAAAUUGCUUUGACCUGCUCUGAAUAAAGCCAGAAAAAUCUGCCAGUGCCUUAGGAAGAUAUGCUGAUUCACUCAGACUAUCCUGUUAUUGACAGAAAUAAUGUUAUGAUUUGUUAGUUAAAACAGGGCAUAAUUUUCAUAAGACUAUUCAAGUUUAAAUGUUUUCAUUCGAGUUACUUCCUAUAUUUACUUACAGUCUUCUUUCUUCAGGUAUUUACUUAGUGCUGACAUACAAGAACAGAUAGAAUUUGUGUGUUUGUAUAAAUGUUGCCAGGCACUAUUGUGGGGAUAAUAACUGAAACUUUUAUGCAAAUUAUUGAGCAACUUUUGCAAUACUUAGUCUUUUUUCCCAACCCGUAAGUCAAGGAAGAUCUGUCUCAAAUGACUCUAAUCGGACUUAGAGAUUUAAAUCCCUUCUCAUCUGACUUCAGUUCUGGCCACUCCCCAAUUAAAGGCUUUCCAAUGAGACCCUUUUACUUCUUGCUAAAUCAUUGGAGAGAGUUUUUAUUACCUUAAAUCUAAAGGUAAUAACUCACAUGCCAACAUUCACUAUGCUUUCAAAUGAGGAGUGACACCCACAGACUUUCAGAAUUUUGGUAAUAAGAUACUAAGCAGGAUAAACAAAAAUGAUGAUGGAGAAGUUCUUCGGUUAAAUAUUUUCUCCAAGGCCAAUCAUUCAUUUCUUGCUGAAUAAAUGAAUUUAUUAAUAAACUGAACAUAGUCUCAUUCUUCUCUCUUCAUGACAAGAAAAAUUACAUAAAUUCUGAGAACCACUACUCAUAGAAGAAUAGCCAGGAUACAAUUUACUGACCAAAAAAGUUCUUAAGUAAAUUCUUAUUUAGGACACUCUUUCUCCAGUAAAUGUCAUAUUCAUGCUGAUUACUCCCCUCACACCACAGCAAAACGCCUGCUAUGAUGUUGGUCAAUACUUCUAUUUAUUUUAGCCUACCUGCAGGCAUGCAAAACACCAUCCCAUCACGUUAAAGGUGAUAAAAUAUAAGUAAGAACACACUGUCUCUCAGUCCUGCCACUUUUGGCAUCACAAUCUCUCUAGAAGUUUUACUAAUUUCUGAGUCCAGUGAAAGUUCCGUAAAAAACCUGGUCACCUUUCAACUACAGCGUCUCACAAUUUGCCACAGCUUCCUGUUCUCUAGGGCAUCUCAUACUGUACCCUGCCCACCGAAUUCUUACAGCUAAGAUACCAAUAUAUACACCUCUGAUUGAAAAAAAGAAAUCUUAAAAGUCUCACAAAACAAUGGGGAAUACUGAACUCUUGUAUGCUACUAUUUGCUCUAUAAAUUGGUAGAGUUAUUUCAGACAGCAAUCUUGUAAGAUUUAGUCAAAUUGAAGAGACAUAAACAAAAGAAUCCCAGCAAUUCCAUUCCUGAGUAUAUGAGCAGAAGGAAAUAUGCACAGAGCUACAUUGUAAUAUCUUUGUUAUAGAUAAAAUUUAGAAUAUAUAUCCAUAUGUACUAAUGUGGGAGAAAUAAUAAAUAAAUUGUGGUAU